Long non-coding RNA from Solanum stenotomum, 504 nucleotides. RefSeq lists it as uncharacterized. The record is from RefSeq and is a predicted model, not a curated record. Lineage: Eukaryota; Viridiplantae; Streptophyta; Magnoliopsida; Solanales; Solanaceae. The transcript is spliced from 3 exons.
UCUUUUAUUUUUCUUCUUAAUCUUCACUUGUUUAUGUGCAAUAACAACAAAAGCAAAUGUAGAAGAUGCUAAGCUUUACAUCGUCUAUUUGGGACACAAGCCCCACGAUAAUCAUGAACUUAUCACAGAUUCACAUCAUGAUAUUUUAGGUCAAAUUAUUGGAAGGUAUAUGGGGAGACUCAGAAGCGUUUAACGAUAAAGGACUAGGUCCAAUUCCAAGUCGAUGGAAAGGUAGUUGCAAAUCUGAAGGAAAUUUCAAUGCCACAAAACAUUGUAAUAGAAAAAUCAUUGGUGCUCGUUGGUAUAUAAAAGGAUUGAUGGAAGAAAAAGGACUAAAUCAAACAAUGGUCGAAAAAAUAUAUAAUUUAUCACCAUUAGAUGAUGUUGGACAUGGUACACAUGUUGCCUAUACAGCUGCUGGUUCUUAUGUUAAUAAUUUGGAAUACUAUGGUCUUAAUAUGGGGACAGUACGAGGAGGAGCACCAAAUGCACGUAUAGCUAUGU